Molecule: long non-coding RNA, 5632 nt
Filed under: Nicotiana tabacum (common tobacco)
Lineage: Eukaryota; Viridiplantae; Streptophyta; Magnoliopsida; Solanales; Solanaceae
Description: long non-coding RNA (NTAB_LNC017939)
Source: RNAcentral
CUCUAACUUUGGCCCUCAAAUUUUUCCCUAUUUCACUAGCUAUGACCCCUUUAACAACUUAUGCAUUUUUUUCUCUUCGAAUCUUACCAUCAUCAUUUCUAACAAUUUCCACUGCCACUCCUAAUUCUACCAUCAACCUAGCAUUCACUGGUUGAUCAAGAUGAAAAGGCAUUGCUAUAAUCGGAACCCGAAAUCGACACUUUCCUUUACUGAAUUCCAACCACAAUGACUUAUAAAUCCUCCAGUACUCGAAUGGUUUAAAAUUCUUGGUUGUGGAGCCCAUUUAUCCGAAACUUUUCCCCUUUCUCCAAUCCUUUCAAGAAAACAUUGUGUUGGUGCCUCCUCAAGAUUUUGUUCUUCCCCCUUUGGAAAUCUUACAACCCAUAUGAAAUUAAAAUUACUAUGCUCCAAUCCCAAUGUUAUCUCUUCUAUAUCUUCCUUUGCCAAGAAAUACUCACUUCCAAAGGAAACAAAUACAGCUGAAUGCUUAUCUUUCUUCCUAGCCAAUCAAUAAGCUCCACAUCAUCCGCUUCGUCAUCAGUCAUUGGAUCUUGGACAGGUGGACCAGCUGGUAUAACUUUCCAAUUGCUCAAUCCAAUCAAAUAGUCUAUAUGUAUUUGGCCUCUAUAAUUCUAGAGGUACUCAUUAGCAUGAUUUACAUAUUUUCUUGAGUAAAAAUGUCACCAUCAUAUUCAUCGGUGAUCUUUCUCUUUAGCAGAUUUUGCCAUCAUUUCACCCUAUUUUACAACCUGUGAUAAAUAGCUGGGAAAGGGAAUUCAACUCCUGGUUUCUUUACUAAGUUAAAAAAAAGUAUGAAAACACAGCUGCAACAGAAGUUAUGAGCUUGAUAGCUGGAAUGUUAUGCUCAUUCGCUAUACUCCAGUCCAUUGCUGUAUCGCGUCGUAGAUCACCAAAUCAGGUUUCAGAUUUUCCAAGAUUUUGGACAAUUUUGCUUUGGCCAAUUUCAUGGCCUUUUUAAGGGUGUGACUUAGAUGGGGUGGGAGACCAUUGGUUGUGUGGUAAUGAGGAGGAAGUUGAGGCUACUCUGGUAAAUGAUGCUCAACAAGUUGAAUUGAAAUAGAGUAAUUUUCGGGUAUUUUUUUAUGGAUAGAUUUGAGAUUGAUAGGUGUAGAACAAAAAUAAAUCAAGAAUCCCCUAUCUACGAGUUUUUUGGCUACGUUGAGAAUUAAUGGAGAGAUGUGUCCAUACGCCAACAAUGGAAACAUCAGUAGCCUCAAAGUGUUAGUGCCACGUUCUGUAUCCAUGAAAACUUUCUUACAAAAGAAACUACUAACGUACGUAAUUUUGUGUAUUUCUUACAAAAGUUAGUGGCAUUGAUUGGCUUUAUACGAAAAAAUAGAGAUGAGGACUAACCUAAUAACGUGGAAUAACCUGCUAAGAAUGGGAAAAAAUGCUUUGUUAGUUUUUAAUGAAAGUGGUAAUGUUGUACGAUUGAUUUUAGGGAAUUUGAAUGUAGAUUAUUAGCCAAGUUUUAUGCAAAGUGACUUAUUUGUGUGACUGUUUGUUAGGAUUUUAGGCAAUUUUUAAGAAUGUGGCUGGUUAUGUGACUGUUCCUUGGUUAUUCUAUGGUUAGAACUAUGACAAAGGGAAAAAAUGAAUGUAAAAAGAAAACAAAAGAAGGGUUGCGAAGGGAUAUUUAUCACUUCUCAAAAGAGUGAUUGUUUGAUUUUAGGACAGUAAACAUUCUUUUCUAAGAUAUAACAAGCAUGUUAUCAAUUGUCUUGAAGUAUUUGAUUUGCAGUGAAAUAGUAUUUUUAUAUAGAUAAUUAGCAGUAGUUGUACAUGGCUGAGUAGUAGCUAGCUAAGAAUAAUUAGUCAUCUCAAUAUAUGUAUAUCUUUUGAGUUACGAGGAAAGUACAAUUAGCUUUAAAACCACAAUUAUUUCCAAAACCACAUUUGUCAUGUUUAGCUAAAUACUUUCUCUUGUCCAUAAUAAGUGACAAAUUUACCUUUUUAUUUUGUUUCAAAAUAAGUGUUCAUUUAUAUAAUCGAAAAAAAUUCAAUUUAUUUUCCCAAAAUUAUUCUUAUUAACGUAUCCCUAAAAAGUCUUUUACUACUCACAUUGACUAUGCUGCAAUAUUUAAUUAAGGGUAGUUUAAUCACACUAACUAUUUUUGUCUAAAAUUUUGUAUUUCCUUAAUGAGUGUGCCCAAGGAAAAUUGGUCAAUUAUUGUGGACAGGAAGGACUUAUAUCUUAAGAAAUGUGUUAGACACAUCCUAUCUCAUCUUAAUUCUAACUUUAGCCACCAAUAUAAAAUAACAAGCAGGAAAGUUUACACAGUGUGUCUAUAUAUAGACUUAUCUCGUGCAUGUGCUUCCCCUAGCUGGCCUACUACUAAUUAAUCAUACUUCUGUAUAUAUAUUUCUAAGUGAAAGUGUGUUUGUUCAGUCUGUCGUGAUAAGAGAAUAGGAUAAUCAAAUGAAAGAAGCCUCAUAUUCCUCCUUUUCUUGCAGGUUCAAUAUAUACUUUGCCAUCCCCAACUUGCACCAAAAUCCUUCUGAUACAUCCUUAGUUCAAGAGAAAACUUUUAUACAUCAAACCUUUUCUCAAUCAUACCUAAUACCCGUGGCCAGGCAGCCAGCCUGUUUUAUACACAAAGAAGUGAGUGAACAGUUAAAUUUUUUGUUUCUAAAUCCUCAUCUGACUCCACGCGUCCAACCUUUUCAUUUUCUCAUUUUUUAAUCAACCUUUUAUUUUCUAAAAAGAUCUUCCACCACCACACCACCUCCUCAACCACUACAUCCCUUAAUCUAAGAGUUAAAGUAAGAAUUUAAAGUUUAUAGAUUCUGAACUUGCCUUGAAGUCAUAAUUUGUCUCAGUUAUUAGGUUUGCAAUUAUAAAUUUAUAUAUAUUUAAUAAAUUUUCAAUAUAAAUAUAAGUUCUAGAUAAACUGGAUCAUUCAAACCCAUAUCUAAUGAUCCAGUUCCGCCCCUGAAUCUUGGUGCCAUGAUUAUUUAUUUGAUUAUUAUAGGUUAGCAACUAUAAUAUGGCACUUCUAGUCUAUUUGUUAACUGUAAGGUAGAUUGUUUGGAGCACACAAGUUAAAUAAUUUGAGAAAGGAUAUAGUUUAAAUAGCAUGGUCAAAACUGGCUAUCGGCUGCAAUUCCUUUAGCGCGCUUUCUACCACGAGUUUCUUAUUUACAUGGCUUAGAUUUGAAACCAAGCCCAAACAUCCCUCAGUGUCCCUCAAAUAUAUUUAGAGAUGUCAAUUUGGGCGAGGCAGGGCAAGGCAGGGUAAGCCUUGACUCACUAAGAUUUUGACCCACCCUCCCUGUCCCGUUUAGCCUUUUUCCUAAUUUUUGCCCUGUCCCGCCCUAUUAAGUCCUGCCCCGUUUAGAUUCUCUUUAAUUUUUUUCUCUUUGUUUUUUUGUUUAUUUUCAAAAGUUAGCUUUCGUUAGAUCAGAUAGUGAUUGGAUCAAAACCACACACUUGACUUAACUGUAGGAUAAAUAAGCUCAGUCAAAUAACAUAUUAUGGAGAACUCCUUCAUCCAUAAUUGAAUGCUUCCAAAACUGGCGAGCAGGAAAUAGAAAAAAAAAUGGGAUAUCCAAAAUCAUUAUAAUCUGAAGAUCUUGAAGUAGACGUGCAUGUGCCAUGCUUUCAGAAUAGUUGCCAAAAGAACUUCUAAAAAACACUAUAUCUUUCGUACAUACAUGAAAAGUUACUAAGCUGCAAAUAGAAGUAGAUUGAUUUUUUUCCUGUUAAAUAUAUAUUGUGCAUUUUUAUUAACAUUAAGGGUAUACUUAAAAACAAUUAACAAAUAUAUUUAGUCUUGAUUUACUGAAGGGACAAUUUUAAUUUUUGUGCUAAAGCGAAUGUUAAUUUGGAACGAAGGAAGUAUAAAUUUGAAGCAGAUGAUCCUGGAGAAAUAUUUUAAAAUCGAGUUUCGUACUUUUAUUGGAUUGAUCAAAUAGCUAGAGAAAAUUAAAUAUUAUGGUAUAUCGUACUAGAUAUGUUCACAAAAUAUCUGCUGUAUGAAAACUCCUAAAACUAUGACCAAAGUAUUGAAGGAACAUAUAACGACCCGGCCGGUCAUUUUAAGUAUUUUAGCCUCGAUCUUCUAUAUAUUGCCUCUUUUAUGUUAUAUUGUGGUUGUGUGACUUGCCGGGGUGUUUGAUUUUGUUUUCGGGUGAGUUUCAGAGUGAAAUGUGACACCUAAUCCCUAAGUUGGAGGCUUAAGUUGAAAGAGUUGACUGUAGUUUUACUUUUAUGUAGACGGCUCCAAAAUGGAGUUUUGACGGUCCCAAUAGCUGUGUAUGGUGAUUUUGGACUUAUGAGCAUAUCUGGAUGUUGAUUUGGAGGUUCGUAGGUCAUUUCGACUUGAAUUGGCGAAAGUUAGAAAGUUGAAGGUUUGGAAGGUUGGAAAGUUUGAUGGGGAGUUGACUUUAUUAAUAUCGGGGUCGAAUUUCGAUUUCGGAAGUUGAAAUAGGUUUGUCAUGUCAUUUAUAACUUGUGUGCAAAAUUUAAAGUCGGUCAGAGUUUUUUUGGUAUGAAUCGGCAUUAGUUUUGGAAUUAUGAAGUACAUAAGUUUCAAUGGGCUUGAAUUGGAUGCAAUUCGUAGAAUCAAUGUUGUUUGAUGUGAUUUUCGGCCUAGAGUAGGUCCGUUAUGUGUGUUUGAAACUUGUUGGUAUAUUCGGACGGGGCCCCGGGUGUGAUUCAGAUUGAAUCCGGAAUAAAUUUGGACUUGUGUGAUUGUUGAAGCAUGGAUGUGUCUGGUGCAAUCACACCUGCACACUUUGGGCCGCAGGUGCGGCACCGCAGAAGCGGCCUUCGAGCCGCAGAAGCGAAGUUAGCCUUGCCCAGCUAGGAACGCAGAUGCGGUCAGCGUUUCGCAGAAGUGGGCGCGUAGAUGUGGAGGGGGCAUCGCAGGAGCGGAUUCAAGUGGGCUGGGGAAGGAUCCCAAGUGCGGUCGAAGCUCCGCAGAUACGGGCUCGCAGAAGCGAUCCAUAGGUCGCAUGAGCACAGGUGCGUUAGGGUGUCUGCAGAAGCACAUUCUCAGGACUUAAGUCAUGGCCACACCUGCGAUGGCAUUUCUGCAGGUGCAGAGCCGCAGAAGCGGCUGUUUGCCCGCAAAAGCGAAAUCGCUGGGCAGAAAUUGGGGGUCUUCGAGGGUUUAAUCUCAUUUUCAUUUUUGGACCUAGAGAGCUUGGUUUGUGGCGAUGUUUCGAGGGUUCUUAAAGAUAAUCAUUGAGGUAAGAGAUUCUAACUCGGUUUGACUAUAUUACACGAAUCCAUAGUUAUUGUCAUCAUUUAAUUAGUGAUUUGAGUUGGAAAUUUGGAAAACAAAAUAGUGAAAACUUCUUAGGCUAAAUUUUGGGGAUUUGAUAGGCGAUUUGAGGUCGAAUUUGAGUAAUUCUUGUAUGGUUAGAAUCGUUAUCGAAUGUGUGUUCGAAUUUUAUAAUUUUGGUCGGGUUCCGAGACACGGACCCGGGUUCACCUUUUGAGUUGACUUUUUUGUUUCUUUUUAAAUAUCAUAACUUUAUUGUUUGGAAUAGUUUCCUAUUGUUUAUAUUUAUGGAAUGAAAUUUUUUUGGCUAGAUUCGGGCCGUUCGGAGUUGAAUUAUCGAGGAAAAAGCUUACUAGUGGAUUAAGUUAGCGUAUUUUGAGGUA